GACGAACGCUGGCGGCGUGCCUAAUACAUGCAAGUUGAGCGAUGAAGAUUGGUGCUUGCACCAAUUUGAAGAGCAGCGAACGGGUGAGUAACGCGUGGGGAAUCUGCCUUUGAGCGGGGGACAACAUUUGGAAACGAAUGCUAAUACCGCAUAACAACUUUAAACAUAAGUUUUAAGUUUGAAAGAUGCAAUUGCAUCACUCAAAGAUGAUCCCGCGUUGUAUUAGCUAGUUGGUGAGGUAAGGGCUCACCAAGGCGAUGAUACAUAGCCGACCUGAGAGGGUGAUCGGCCACAUUGGGACUGAGACACGGCCCAAACUCCUACGGGAGGCAGCAGUAGGGAAUCUUCGGCAAUGGACGAAAGUCUGACCGAGCAACGCCGCGUGAGUGAAGAAGGUUUUCGGAUCGUAAAACUCGGUUGGUAGAGAAGAACGUUGGUGAGAGUGGAAAGCUCAUCAAGUGACGGUAACUACCCAGAAAGGGACGGCUAACUACGUG
This 497-nucleotide ribosomal RNA is filed under the name uncultured bacterium. RNAcentral's name for it is "partial 16S ribosomal RNA". It matches the Rfam family "Bacterial small subunit ribosomal RNA", at positions 28 to 507 of the family's 1533-position model. The record is from RNAcentral.